CACAGAGUUUCGUUCAGUUAACGAUGACAGGUUUAACUGUGAGGUUAGAUUUCUCACGAUGUAUUUGGGUCGUGAAGCCUUCACCAAACGUCAUGUAAUGUUAUUUAAAUUUGAAUGUACGGUCGAAAUGUACCUGUUUUUGUUUAUACUUUCGUGUGUGUUCCUUUAAAUGUACGAUAAAGUGGUUGUUUUUAUCGUGAUUGUGAUUACGGAAUUAAAUAAUUUUCCUUUUUUUUGUAAUGGGUUGUUCGAUUCUCAUUUUAUUUAGUUUUUAUUUCGAUGUGCAUAUCUUUGAGCCAAAUUUGCUAACGCAUCAAGAAAGAAAACCGGACAAUGGAGUGCAAUUAUCUCGUGGUAGAUCGAAAUGAAUCCCCCAUUUACAACAAUAAGGGUCAAGUUUUGGUCUACAAUUGUGUGUGGAAGUAUUAUGUUGAUUUUGCCAGAUAUUAUUCUCCAAAAACAAUUCUCAGCUAUUUUUUCUCGGAGAUAUCUAACCUCAAUUUUUUAUUAGCUGAGAUCAGUUUCUACGUUGAGGCAGAACUCGAAAUAAUUCCUCGGCUUAGUUUGGAUGCUCAAGACUGUUUUAUGAUGAAUAAUGAGAGCGAAACAGUAGCACAGGAUGCAAGAGUCAACGGUGUAGAUGGGACCGUUGAUGCGGAUGCAAUUGAUGACAUAGACGUGGCUAGGCUACACAAGUAUUGGAUCAAGAAAUGGAUGCUAUCGACAUCACAAAAUCGAGCAACUCCAAAGCUUACUGGACAUAUGACAUAACCAUUACCCUGAUCAACAAAUACAAGGACAACUAUGGGUUGUUUGCGGAUUCCAUGCACAAGAACACCGAGAUUUGGGAUAGGAUUGCACAGGAGUUCCGCGAGGCAGGUUUUAUGUUCGAUGGCACACAGUGUGAGAACCGGUGGAAGUACAUCUGAGGAAAAUACAUCAAAAAACGCGACAAUGAUUCAACGUCAACACUGGUGGGGCAUUCUAUUGUUUUGAAUACUUUGACGAGAUUGAUGAAAUACAGGCAAAAACCUAAUGUGGCGCCAAAGCACUUAGUAUCUUCAAGUACACGCCUGACACAAUCACCGAACUGGUCCUCUUCAACGGUUAACUCGAAAACGAUUUCACCAUCGAAUGAGUCAGAAAACUCAUCGAAAAUCCGAUCGAGUCCAGCAUCUAAAUCGAAAACAAUGUCACCGUCGAAUCGACGUUCUUUGCCAGUGCGUUCGCUGGAUCCGUCUUCCGAAUUCGGAAAUGUUCAGAUGUUUUUUUCUGGCCAAGGCAUUGAUUAGGAUCAUGAACAAGGUAACGACACCUCUGCUGCCAACGAUAGUUCUUCAUCUAAAUCGAAAUCAAAGAAAGAAGCUCGAGAGGAGAGCGAAAAGCGUCAGAAGCGAUAUAACAAAGAAAUUAUAGAUAUACAGAGAGAGUCUUUGUCUGUGUUCAAAGAAGUUAUGUUUAAAAUCGCCGAUGCGAUGACAAAAAAA
Molecule: long non-coding RNA, 1487 nt
Organism: Bradysia coprophila
Lineage: Eukaryota; Metazoa; Arthropoda; Insecta; Diptera; Sciaridae
Source: RefSeq, a predicted model, not a curated record